GGGCUGCCCAUGCGGCAGGUCUUCGGGGCCUGCUCCUCGGUCCGACGUAAACCACGUGAUGAAGUGAUGCUUUCAGAGGAAUUCUGGAGAGAGAAAAAAACGUCUCAAGGAAGCUUGACUGAAUGGCGGAUACCAUCUCUCCCCCGUCAUCCGUGUAAAAUAAUGCUGCGUUCUUUGGGGGUCACUGUGACCCAUCAGAAGGCUCUAUGCCCAGCAUGGAGCUCAAUGCAGGACUUGAACUCAGAACCAUGAGAUAAGACGUGAGCUGAGACCAAGUGUUGGAAUCUCAACCAACUGAACCACCAGGGUGACCCAUUGUCCUGGAUUCCCUGGGACCAAGGAUUUCCCAGGAUGCAGAACAUUUGGGGCUAAAAUUGGGACAACUGUCACCCUACUUUCAUCCUGGAGAGCUUUUGUUGCAUUUGAAACUUCUCAUACUUCUCUCUCAUGACUCCCCCAUCAAAAAUUUGGUAACAAAAGGGGACAGGACUGUUUUGCCACUUGCAAGCAUGGCUAAUGGUGUAUUGUCUGCAGAUGUGGUGGGUCUGCAGAAGCCCUGGUUCAAAUAAAAUCGG
Acinonyx jubatus (cheetah) is the source of this 575-nucleotide long non-coding RNA. RefSeq lists it as uncharacterized. The record is from RefSeq and is a predicted model, not a curated record. NCBI's taxonomy places the organism in Eukaryota, Metazoa, Chordata, Mammalia, Carnivora, Felidae. The transcript is spliced from 4 exons.